This 30-nucleotide non-coding RNA is filed under the name Mus musculus (house mouse). The record is from RNAcentral. Lineage: Eukaryota; Metazoa; Chordata; Mammalia; Rodentia; Muridae.
UGAGAUUCCUCGGAGAAAACUAUGGGCUAC